RNAcentral lists this ribosomal RNA (441 nucleotides) under uncultured bacterium. RNAcentral describes it as "partial 16S ribosomal RNA". It matches the Rfam family "Bacterial small subunit ribosomal RNA", at positions 338 to 795 of the family's 1533-position model. The record is from RNAcentral.
CCUACGGGUGGCAGCAGUGGGGAAUAUUGCACAAUGGGGGAAACCCUGAUGCAGCAACGCCGCGUGGGUGAAGGAGCGUUUCGGCGCGUAAAGCCCUGUCAGCGGGGAAGAAGAAAGCCGGUACCCGACCCAGAUGCCCCGGCUAACUACGUGCCAGCAGCCGCGGUAAUACGGAGGGGGCGAGCGUUAUCCGGAAUUACUGGGUGUAAGGGGAGCGUAGACGGCGAGGUAAGCCUGAAGUGGAAGCCCGCGGCCCAACCGCGGAACUGCAUUUGGUACUGUUUUGUUGGAGUGUGGGAGGGGUAAGCGGAAUUCCUGGUGUAGCGGUGAAAUGCGUAGAGAUCAGGAGGAACACCGGUGGCGAAGGCGGCUUACUGGACCAUAACUGACGUUGAGGCUCGAAAGCGUGGGGAGCGAACAGGAUUAGAUACCCGGGUAGUC